UGGGUAAAUCGCAUUGUUAUGACUUAUUGAUGAGCUUAUUAGGCAUUUUAUCUAGGGUGAGCACGGUUUUUGAGUAGAACCGGGAACCGAAAAACCGAACUGGUGGGUCUGAUUUGGUUCCCAGUUCCAAGGGAGAAGGUUUCGGUUCCCCGUUCUACUCUUUUUGGAACCGGCGGUUCCCAAUUUGGUUCUCGAUUCCUAUCGGAACCAGAACCGGAAACCAGGGUUCCUAAACCUAAAAUCUCUAAUUUCUUCAAUCUUCAAGUCUUCCUGUUCUCUCUGCCGAUACUUUCCUCUCUAGUCUCUGCUCUCUCCUCUGUACAGCACUGCGGCGCCCCGACAACAGCCCGACACUGUUCACCGUCCUCGACGCCGCUGUCACGACCCACGAUGUCACCGUUCUUGCUUUCUACUGAUGGCUCAUCAAUCGGUACCCGAACUUGAUCACAGACGUCAUCAAGGAAGAGCCGCCCCUCGACACGAGCGGCGUCGCCUGGCCGAUCAACCCCUUCAAGCCAAACCCUAACACUUGUGUUGUCAGGUUUUUUUGAAUUUUGGUGGUCUCGAGCUGGAAUUGUGAGAGGAUUUGCGUUGAAGGUCCUGGAAAGACCACAUUACUUCUAGCAUUAGCUGGGAAGCUUAGCAAAGCUUUGAAAUUCGUACAAUGGACAUGGGAUGGACGAAUUUGUGCUGCAAAGGACAUCGGCUUAUAUAAAUCAAUAUGAUCUCCAUAUAAGAGAAAUGACUAUUAGAGAAACUCUAGCGAACUCUGGCUUUCUUGGCCAGGUGCCAAGGCGUCGGACACCAUUUUACAUGCUAGUAGAGUUAUCAAGAAGAGAGACGGAGGCAAACAUCAGACCUGAUCCUGAUAUAGAUAUCUUUAUGAAGGCAGCUGCCCCGGAGGGUAGGAGACUAAUGUUGUUACCAAUUAUAUACUCAAGAUUCCAGGACUUGAAAUUUGCACCGACACGAUGGUGGGAGAUGAAAUGAUACGAGGCAUCUCCGGUGGACAAAAGAAACGAGUCACAACUGGGGAGAUGCUAGUCCGGUCAGCCAAAGCACUCUUUAUAGACGAAAUAUCGACUAGCUCGGAUAGUUCGACAACAUUCCAAAUAGUGAACUCACUCAGAUAGUCCAUACCCAUCCUCAAUGGGACUGCUCUAAUAUCCCUCCUCCAGCCUGCACCAAAAACUUACGACCUGUUUGACAAUAUCAUCCUUCUUGCAAAUGGGCAAGUAGUGUAAUCAAGAUCCCCGAGAAAAUGUGCUCGAGUUCUUCAAUCACAUGGGUUUUAAAUGUGCAGAAAGGAAAGGAGCAACUGAUUUCUUGCGAGAAGUAAUAUUUUCGCAGCACUGGGUGGUCUCGGGCUCGAAUGAUCAUCCAUCCUAGAAUUUGUAUUACAUGGAGGUAAUAUUGUUGAGUUAUAAUCCAACAAAGAACUUCUUGCAUGGGAAAUAAUCUGCUUAAAUUGCUGAUUUUAGUGUGAUAGUAGGUGACUUUGUAGUUGUAAUUUUAGAUCCGAGAAUUGUUGGAAGGUGCUGAUCUUAGUCUGUUCUAAUUUGGAUUUUGUGAUUGUAAUGUGUGUUUUUACUAUGCUUGGCUUAUUGGUAGAUGUUUUGCUUCAAAAUUUAUUCGCCAGACAUUUAAAUUCUAAGCUGAGGGUACUUUGUAACUAUAGAAAAUUUCGAAGUGAUGGUGUUGUGGGUCCUGUUAUAGAGAAGUACGUAUUGGAA
Eucalyptus grandis is the source of this 1733-nucleotide long non-coding RNA. RefSeq lists it as uncharacterized. Lineage: Eukaryota; Viridiplantae; Streptophyta; Magnoliopsida; Myrtales; Myrtaceae. The transcript is spliced from 7 exons. The record is from RefSeq and is a predicted model, not a curated record.